RNAcentral lists this ribosomal RNA (511 nucleotides) under uncultured bacterium. Its description in RNAcentral is "bacterial SSU rRNA". It matches the Rfam family "Bacterial small subunit ribosomal RNA", at positions 28 to 505 of the family's 1533-position model. The record is from RNAcentral.
GACGAACGCUGGCGGCGUGCUUAACACAUGCAAGUCGAACGGAGAUUAUUAAUGAAGCUUGCGAUUUAAUAAUCUUAGUGGCGGACGGGUGAGUAACGCGUGGGCAACCUACCCAUAAGCGGGGGAUAACAGUCGGAAACGACUGCUAAUACCGCAUAAGCUAUUAAGGUCGCAUGACCUAAAUAGUAAAGGUGGCAUUUUAACAGUGCUAUCACUUAUGGAUGGGCCCCGCGUCUGAUUAGCUAGUUGGUGGGGUAGGCAGCCUACCAAGGCAACGAUCAGUAGCCGGCCUGAGAGGGUGGACGGCCACACUGGGACUGAGACACGGCCCAGACUCCUACGGGAGGCAGCAGUGGGGAAUAUUGCGCAAUGGGGGAAACCCUGACGCAGCGACGCCGCGUGAGCGAAGAAGGCCUUAGGGUCGUAAAGCUCUGUUGUAAGGGACGAAUGUUGUCUGGCGAACAGUCAGAUAAAGUGACGGUACCUUACCAGCAAGCCCCGGCUAACUACG